CCUACGGGAGGCAGCAGUAGGGAAUCUUCCACAAUGGGCGAAAGCCUGAUGGAGCAACGCCGCGUGAGUGAAGAAGGUUUUCGGAUCGUAAAACUCUGUUGUAAGGGAAGAACAAGUGCAAUAGUAACUGGCUGCACCUUGACGGUACCUUAUUAGAAAGCCACGGCUAACUACGUGCCAGCAGCCGCGGUAAUACGUAGGGGGCAAGCGUUGUCCGGAAUUUUGGGCGUAAGCGCGCGCAGGCGGUUUCUUAAGCUGAUGUGAAAGCCCUCGGCUUAACCGAGGAGGGUCUCAUGGAAACUGGGAGAUUGGAGUGCAGAAGAGGAAAGUGGAAUUCCAAAGUGUAGCGGUGAAAUUGCGUAGAGAUUUGGAGGAACACCAGUGGCGAAGGCGACUUUCUGGUCUGUAACUGACGCUGAGGCCCGAAAGCGUGGGGACCAAACAGGAUUAGAUUCCCUGGUAGUCCACGCCGUAAACGAUGAGUGGCUAAGGGUUAGGGGGUUUCCGCCCCUUAGUGCUGCAGCUAACGCAUUAAGCACUCCGCCUGGGGAGUACGGUCGCAAGACUGAAACUCAAAGGAAUUGACGGGGGCCCGCACAAGCGGUGGAGCAUGUGGUUUAAUUCGAAGCAACGCGAAGAACCUUAC
This 646-nucleotide ribosomal RNA is filed under the name bacterium HN2-5-1. RNAcentral's name for it is "bacterial SSU rRNA". It matches the Rfam family "Bacterial small subunit ribosomal RNA", at positions 338 to 974 of the family's 1533-position model. The record is from RNAcentral.